Molecule: ribosomal RNA, 1370 nt
Filed under: uncultured bacterium
Lineage: Bacteria
Description: bacterial SSU rRNA
Rfam family: Bacterial small subunit ribosomal RNA
Source: RNAcentral
AGAGUUUGAUCCUGGCUCAGAACGAACGCUGGCGGCGUGGAUAAGACAUGCAAGUCGAGCGAGAGAAUUGCUAGCUUGCUAAUAAUUCUCUAGUGGCGCACGGGUGAGUAACACGUGAGUAACCUGCCCCCGAGAGCGGGAUAGCCCUGGGAAACUGGGAUUAAUACCGCAUAGUAUCGAAAGAUUAAAGCAGCAAUGCGCUUGGGGAUGGGCUCGCGGCCUAUUAGUUAGUUGGUGAGGUAACGGCUCACCAAGGCGAUGACGGGUAGCCGGUCUGAGAGGAUGUCCGGCCACACUGGAACUGAGACACGGUCCAGACACCUACGGGUGGCAGCAGUCGAGAAUCAUUCACAAUGGGGGAAACCCUGAUGGUGCGACGCCGCGUGGGGGAAUGAAGGUCUUCGGAUUGUAAACCCCUGUCAUGUGGGAGCAAAUUAAAAAGAUAGUACCACAAGAGGAAGAGACGGCUAACUCUGUGCCAGCAGCCGCGGUAAUACAGAGGUCUCAAGCGUUGUUCGGAAUCACUGGGCGUAAAGCGUGCGUAGGCUGUUUCGUAAGUCGUGUGUGAAAGGCGCGGGCUCAACCCGCGGACGGCACAUGAUACUGCGAGACUAGAGUAAUGGAGGGGGAACCGGAAUUCUCGGUGUAGCAGUGAAAUGCGUAGAUAUCGAGAGGAACACUCGUGGCGAAGGCGGGUUCCUGGACAUUAACUGACGCUGAGGCACGAAGGCCAGGGGAGCGAAAGGGAUUAGAUACCCCUGUAGUCCUGGCAGUAAACGGUGCACGCUUGGUGUGCGGGGAAUCGACCCCCUGCGUGCCGGAGCUAACGCGUUAAGCGUGCCGCCUGGGGAGUACGGUCGCAAGAUUAAAACUCAAAGAAAUUGACGGGGACCCGCACAAGCGGUGGAGUAUGUGGCUUAAUUCGAUGCAACGCGAAGAACCUUACCUGGGCUUGACAUGUAAUGAACAACAUGUGAAAGCAUGCGUCUCUUCGGAGGCGUUACACAGGUGCUGCAUGGCCGUCGUCAGCUCGUGUCGUGAGAUGUUUGGUUAAGUCCAGCAACGAGCGCAACCCCUGUUGCCAGUUACCAGCACGUGAAGGUGGGGACUCUGGCGAGACUGCCCAGAUCAACUGGGAGGAAGGUGGGGACGACGUCAGGUCAGUAUGGCCCUUAUGCCCAGGGCUGCACACGUACUACAAUGCCCAGUACAGAGGGGGCCGAAGCCGCGAGGCGGAGGAAAUCCUAAAAACUGGGCCCAGUUCGGACUGUAGGCUGCAACCCGCCUACACGAAGCCGGAAUCGCUAGUAAUGGCGCAUCAGCUACGGCGCCGUGAAUACGUUCCCGGGUCUUGCACUAACCGCCCGUCA